GAUGAACGCUGGCGGCGUGCCUAAUACAUGCAAGUCGAGCGAACAGACGAGGAGCUUGCUCCUCUGACGUUAGCGGCGGACGGGUGAGUAACACGUGGAUAACCUACCUAUAAGACUGGGAUAACUUCGGGAAACCGGAGCUAAUACCGGAUAAUAUAUUGAACCGCAUGGUUCAAUAGUGAAAGACGGUUUUGCUGUCACUUAUAGAUGGAUCCGCGCCGCAUUAGCUAGUUGGUAAGGUAACGGCUUACCAAGGCAACGAUGCGUAGCCGACCUGAGAGGGUGUUCGGCACCCCUGGACUUGAGACCCGUGCCAGACUCCUCGGGGAGGAAGCGGUAGGGAUUCUUCCGAACUGGGCGAAAGCCUGCCGGGGAACCGCGGCGUGAGUGAUGAAGGUCUUCGAUUCGUAAACCUCUGUUAUUGGGGAAGAACAAAUGUGUAGGUAACGAUGCCCGUCUUGCCGGUACCUAAUAAGAAGGCACCGGCUAACUCCGU
Molecule: ribosomal RNA, 496 nt
Filed under: uncultured bacterium
Lineage: Bacteria
Description: partial 16S ribosomal RNA
Rfam family: Bacterial small subunit ribosomal RNA
Source: RNAcentral